GAACAAAUUGUAGUGCGGAUGAUAUUUCGUGGUGUACGUAUAGAAAAGUACUAUGAUUCUUAUACUGAAUCAACAGUCUAUACAACUCGUGCUUCGGAGUAUGGGACACCUUUCGACAAGGAGAGUAAGAUUAUCUUUCCCGCACAUGUCGAUCCUAACAUCCUCGCAAUAAUCGGCCAGAAUCAAGAAGGACUUGAAAUACAGACAAAAGAGGGAGAAUGGAUCCCGGUUGUGCCUUCCCCGAACUCCUUCGCAGUCGUAAUUGGUGAAACAGUUCAGGCAUGGACCAAUGGAAGACUGCAAGCCCCCGUCCAUCGUGUCAAAUUUACUGGCAACGAGAAAAGAAACUCUGUGAUUUUCGCUUCUUUACCAAAGGAUGAUUGCAUCGUCCAAGCACCAAAAGAGCUGGUUGAUGAGGAGCAUUCACUGAUUUAUAAGCCUUACGUUUUCUUGGACUAUAAAAAAUUUCGUUACUCUGAGGAAGCAGUCAGAGACAACAGGACCCUGCCUGAUUUAUGCGGUAUAAGAGAAGAGGAGCAGCAACCAUAAGUAUGUCAGAUUCCCAGAAGUAAGUGCAUCUUGAGGAUGAGUGUUGCAUCUAGUUUGAAUGGAAGACAAUAAAAU
Molecule: unclassified non-coding RNA, 624 nt
Filed under: Hevea brasiliensis (rubber tree)
Lineage: Eukaryota; Viridiplantae; Streptophyta; Magnoliopsida; Malpighiales; Euphorbiaceae
Source: RNAcentral